Molecule: ribosomal RNA, 494 nt
Filed under: uncultured bacterium
Lineage: Bacteria
Description: partial 16S ribosomal RNA
Rfam family: Bacterial small subunit ribosomal RNA
Source: RNAcentral
GACGAACGCUGGCGGCGUGCUUAACACAUGCAAGUCGAACGGAAAGGCCUGCUUUCCCUUGUGGAUUGCGGGUACUCGAGUGGCGAACGGGUGAGUAACACGUGAGUGAUCUGCCCCCAACUUGGUUAUAAGCCUGGGAAACUGGGUCUAAUUCCCGAUAGGACUGCAGGGUGGUGCCUGUGGUGGAAAACGAUUUUCUAGUGGUUGGGGAUGAGCUCGCGGCCUAUCAGCUUGUUGGUGGGGUAAUGGCCUACCAAGGCGGCGACGGGUAGCCGGCCUGGGGGGGGGGACGGCUACAUUGGGACUGAGAUACGGCCCAGACUGCUACGGGAGGCAGCAGUGGGGACUAUUGCACGAUGGGCGGAAGCCUGAUGCAGCGACGCGGGGUGGGGGAUGACGGGCUUCGGGUUGUAAACUCCUUUCGACCGAGAGGAAGCCACCUGGUUGGAAGGGUGGUGACGGUAGUGGUAGAAGAAGCACCGGCUAACUACGUG